Molecule: non-coding RNA, 381 nt
Organism: Malus domestica (apple)
Lineage: Eukaryota; Viridiplantae; Streptophyta; Magnoliopsida; Rosales; Rosaceae
Source: RefSeq, a predicted model, not a curated record
AUGGGUGGGAGGGGCCCAUUUUCCUGGGUGCAAAACGGGUGACUUCUACUGAUUUGGUUUAUCUAGGGUUUUGCUUCUUCGUGGUCCAACCAUGGUUGUAUGAGGUUGAAGGAACCUAACAUCGACUUAGAAGCGGGAGCUGUUGCUGAACCGAAAUCAAAUUCAUCACAGACAAAAAUCACCCUAAAGAUAGGGAACUUCAGAUUGAUAAAAGAGAUUGGGAAGCUAUGUUCAUGAAGGUUGACGACAAAGCAUCGCCGAACACACAAGCUUUUUGUAGGCACAAAUUAAGGAAAGUGACAAGAAGAAGAAAUCGUUUAUGUGAUGAGGCACCUCGAACCUCAGUGAAGACGAACCUAGCAUCACAAAUUGGUUUGGGUA